GAUGAACGCUGGCGGCGCGCCUAACACAUGCAAGUCGAACGAUUAAAGCACCUCCGGGUGUGUAUAAAGUGGCGAACGGCUGAGUAACACGUGGGCAACCUGCCCCUCUCAAUGGGAUAGCCACGGGAAACCGUGGAUAAUACCCGAAUACUUCGGGACUUCCGCAUGGAAGGCUCGAGAAAGCUCCGGCGGAGAGGGAUGGGCCCGCGGCCUGUUAGCUUGUUGGUGGGGUAACGGCCUACCAAGGCAAUGAUGGGUAGCUGGGUUGAGAGACCGACCAGCCAGAUUGGGACUGAGACACGGCCCAGACUCCUACGGGAGGCAGCAGUGGGGAAUCUUGCACAAUGGGCGAAAGCCUGAUGCAGCGACGCCGCGUGCGGGAUGAAGGCCUUCGGUUGGUAAACCGACGUUUCUAGCAGGACGAGGCG
This 428-nucleotide ribosomal RNA is filed under the name uncultured bacterium. RNAcentral describes it as "bacterial SSU rRNA". It matches the Rfam family "Bacterial small subunit ribosomal RNA", at positions 28 to 455 of the family's 1533-position model. The record is from RNAcentral.